AUGAACGCCCUGCACGUCGCCAGGGCCAACGCCGGCGUCAGCACACAGAUGGUGCGCUUUGCCACCUCCCUCAGCAAGGAGAGCGUCGUCGAUGUCGAGAGCAUCGUCACCCACCCCAAGGAACCCCUCAAGGCCACCACACAGCAGGUCAAGGUGCAGGUUAGGAAGGUCUACUGCAUAAAUAGGGCGAUCCCCACACUUCCGAUCAACCUUGAGGAUGCGGCCUGA
Molecule: ribosomal RNA, 228 nt
Filed under: Triticum aestivum (bread wheat)
Lineage: Eukaryota; Viridiplantae; Streptophyta; Magnoliopsida; Poales; Poaceae
Description: partial small subunit ribosomal RNA
Source: RNAcentral